UACGGAGGAUGCAAGCGUUAUCCGGAUUUAUUGGGUUUAAAGGGUGCGUAGGCGGAUAUGUAAGUCAGCGGUGAAACUCACAGGCUCAACCUGUGCCGUGCCGUUGAAACUGUGUAUCUGGAAUGCGGAUGCUGUGGGAGGAAUGUGUAGUGUAGCGGUGAAAUGCAUAGAUAUUACACAGAACACCGAUUGCGAAGGCAUCUCACAAAGCCGUUAUUGACGCUGAGGCACGAAAGUAGUGGGGAGUCAAA
This 251-nucleotide ribosomal RNA is filed under the name uncultured prokaryote. RNAcentral's name for it is "partial 16S ribosomal RNA". It matches the Rfam family "Bacterial small subunit ribosomal RNA", at positions 524 to 773 of the family's 1533-position model. The record is from RNAcentral.